RNAcentral lists this ribosomal RNA (253 nucleotides) under uncultured bacterium. Its description in RNAcentral is "partial 16S ribosomal RNA". It matches the Rfam family "Bacterial small subunit ribosomal RNA", at positions 524 to 776 of the family's 1533-position model. The record is from RNAcentral.
UACGUAGGGGGCGAGCGUUGUCCGGAUUUAUUGGGCGUAAAGAGCGUGUAGGCGGCCAGAUAAGUCCGCUGUGAAAUCUCGAGGCUCAACUUCGAGCUGUCGGUGGAAACUGUCUGGCUAGAGUCCGGAAGAGGAGAAUGGAAUUCCUGGUGUAGCGGUGAAAUGCGCAGAUAUCAGGAGGAACACCGAUGGCGAAGGCAGGUCUCUGGGCAUUAACUGACGCUGAGGAGCGAAAGCAUGGGGAGCGAACAGG